AUGCAGUCGAGCGCACUCUUCGGAGUGAGCGGCGGACGGGUUAGUAACGCGUGGGAAUAUGCCCUUCACUACGGAAUAGCCUCGGGAAACUGAGAGUAAUACCGUAUACGCCCUUUGGGGGAAAGAUUUAUCGGUGAAGGAUUAGCCCGCGUCUGAUUAGAUAGUUGGUGGGGUAACGGCCUACCAAGUCGACGAUCAGUAGCUGGUUUGAGAGGAUGAUCAGCAACACUGGGACUGAGACACGGCCCAGACUCCUACGGGAGGCAGCAGUGGGGAAUCUUAGACAAUGGGCGCAAGCCUGAUCUAGCCAUGCCGCGUGAGUGACGAAGGCCUUAGGGUCGUAAAGCUCUUUCGCCAGGGAUGAUAAUGACAGUACCUGGUAAAGAAACCCCGGCUAACUCCGUGCCAGCAGCCGCGGUAAUACGGAGGGGGUUAGCGUUGUUCGGAAUUACUGGGCGUAAAGCGCGCGUAGGCGGAUUGGAAAGUUGGGGGUGAAAUCCCGGGGCUCAACCCCGGAACUGCCUCCAAAACUAUCAGUCUAGAGUUCGAGAGAGGUGAGUGGAAUUCCAAGUGUAGAGGUGAAAUUCGUAGAUAUUUGGAGGAACACCAGUGGCGAAGGCGGCUCACUGGCUCGAUACUGACGCUGAGGUGCGAAAGUGUGGGGAGCAAACAGGAUUAGAUACCCUGGUAGUCCACACCGUAAACGAUGAAUGCCAGACGUCGGGGGGGCUUGCCCUUCGGUGUCACACCUAACGGAUUAAGCAUU
RNAcentral lists this ribosomal RNA (766 nucleotides) under Yoonia sp. RNAcentral's name for it is "bacterial SSU rRNA". It matches the Rfam family "Bacterial small subunit ribosomal RNA", at positions 55 to 868 of the family's 1533-position model. The record is from RNAcentral. Lineage: Bacteria; Pseudomonadati; Pseudomonadota; Alphaproteobacteria; Rhodobacterales; Paracoccaceae.